Molecule: ribosomal RNA, 296 nt
Filed under: Testudo hermanni hermanni
Lineage: Eukaryota; Metazoa; Chordata; Testudines; Testudinidae
Description: partial 12S ribosomal RNA
Source: RNAcentral
CCCCUAGAGGAGCCUGUUCUAUAAUCGAUAAUCCACGAUCUACCUCACCAUCUCUUGCCAAUACCGCCUAUAUACCGCCGUCACCAGCCUACCCUAUGAAGGAUAUAAAAGUAGGCAAAAUCGCACAACAGCUAACAAGUCAGGUCAAGGUGUAGCUUACUGAGAUGGAAGAAAUGGGCUACAUUUUCUAAACUAGAAAUCAUUUCACGGAAAGAACUAUGAAACAAGUUCUAAAAGCAGGAUUUAGCAGUAAAUAAGGAUCAGAAUGCCCAAUUUAAGCCGGUCCUAAGGUACGC